RNAcentral lists this ribosomal RNA (427 nucleotides) under uncultured bacterium. RNAcentral describes it as "bacterial SSU rRNA". It matches the Rfam family "Bacterial small subunit ribosomal RNA", at positions 354 to 796 of the family's 1533-position model. The record is from RNAcentral.
GCAAGGAAUUUUCCGCAAUGGGCGCAAGCCUGACGGAGCAACGCCGCGUGUGGGAUGACGCUUUUCGGAGUGUAAACCACUGUUCGUGGGGACGAAGCACUGACGGUACCCACGGAGGAAGGCCCGGCUAACUACGUGCCAGCAGCCGCGGUAAUACGUAGGGGUCGAGCGUUGUCCGGAGUUACUGGGCGUAAAGCGCAUGCAGGCGGCUCAUUACGCAUGGCGUGAAAGCCCCCGGCUUAACCGGGGAGGGUCGUCGUGAACGGGUGAGCUUGAGGGUAUCAGGGGCUGGUGGAAUUCCCGGUGUAGUGGUGAAAUGCGUAGAGAUCGGGAGGAACACCUGUGGCGAAGGCGGCCAGCUGGGAUACACCUGACGCUGAGAUGCGAAGGCGUGGGGAGCGAACGGGAUUAGAAACCCCAGUAGUCC